AAGUCGAACGGUAACGUGGGGAGGAGCUUGCUCCACCCUGACGACGAGUGGCGAACGGGUGAGUAAUACAUCGGAACGUGUCCGCUCGUGGGGGACAACCAGCCGAAAGGUUGGCUAAUACCGCAUGAGUUCUACGGAAGAAAGAGGGGGACCCGCAAGGGCCUCUCGCGAGCGGAGCGGCCGAUGACUGAUUAGCCAGUUGGUGAGGUAACGGCUCACCAAAGCAACGAUCAGUAGCUGGUCUGAGAGGACGACCAGCCACACUGGGACUGAGACACGGCCCAGACUCCUACGGGAGGCAGCAGUGGGGAAUUUUGGACAAUGGGCGCAAGCCUGAUCCAGCUAUUCCGCGUGUGGGAUGAAGGCCCUCGGGUUGUAAACCACUUUUGUAGAGAACGAAAAGACAUCUUCGAAUAAAGGAUGUUGCUGACGGUACUCUAAGAAUAAGCACCGGCUAACUACGUGCCAGCAGCCGCGGUAAUACGUAGGGUGCGAGCGUUAAUCGGAAUUACUGGGCGUAAAGGGUGCGCAGGCGGUUGAGUAAGACAGAUGUGAAAUCCCCGAGCUUAACUCGGGAAUGGCAUAUGUGACUGCUCGACUAGAGUGUGUCAGAGGGAGGUGGAAUUCCACGUGUAGCAGUGAAAUGCGUAGAUAUGUGGAAGAACACCGAUGGCGAAGGCAGCCUCCUGGGACAUAACUGACGCUCAGGCACGAAAGCGUGGGGAGCA
This 728-nucleotide ribosomal RNA is filed under the name uncultured beta proteobacterium. RNAcentral describes it as "bacterial SSU rRNA". It matches the Rfam family "Bacterial small subunit ribosomal RNA", at positions 59 to 770 of the family's 1533-position model. The record is from RNAcentral. Lineage: Bacteria; Pseudomonadati; Pseudomonadota; Betaproteobacteria.